CCCUUAGAUGUCCUGGGCUGCACGCGCGCUACACUGAUGUGUCCAGUAAGCACCUAACCUCUUCCGAAAGGAACGGGUAACCUUUGCAAAGCACAUCGUGAUGGGGAUAGAUUAUUGCAAUUAUUAGUCUUGAACGAGGAAUUCCUAGUAAGCACAAGUCAUCAGCUUGUGUUGAUUACGUCCCUGCCCUUUGUACACACCGCCCGUCGCACCUACCGAUUGAAUGGUUCGGUGAAGAUCUCGGACUUCGAUAUUUAUUCUUUAUUGAGUUUAUAUUGUGGGAAGUUAUCUAAACCUCAUCAUUUAGAGGAAGGUGAAGUCGUAACA
This 327-nucleotide ribosomal RNA is filed under the name uncultured eukaryote. RNAcentral's name for it is "partial 18S ribosomal RNA". It matches the Rfam family "Eukaryotic small subunit ribosomal RNA", at positions 1470 to 1796 of the family's 1831-position model. The record is from RNAcentral.